This 899-nucleotide ribosomal RNA is filed under the name uncultured bacterium. RNAcentral's name for it is "bacterial SSU rRNA". It matches the Rfam family "Bacterial small subunit ribosomal RNA", at positions 8 to 916 of the family's 1533-position model. The record is from RNAcentral.
AGAGUUUGAUCCUGGCUCAGAUUGAACGCUGGCGGCAGGCCUAACACAUGCAAGUCGAGCGGUAACACUUCGGGUGACGAGCGGCGGACGGGUGAGUAACGCGUAGGAAUCUACCCAGUAGUGGGGGACAACAGUUGGAAACGACUGCUAAUACCGCAUACGCCCUACGGGGGAAAGGGGGCUUCGGCUCUCGCUAUUGGAUGAGCCUGCGUGAGAUUAGCUAGUUGGUAAGGUAAUGGCUUACCAAGGCAACGAUCUCUAGCUGGUUUGAGAGGAUGAUCAGCCACACUGGGACUGAGACACGGCCCAGACUCCUACGGGAGGCAGCAGUGGGGAAUAUUGCACAAUGGGGGAAACCCUGAUGCAGCCAUGCCGCGUGUGUGAAGAAGGCCUUCGGGUUGUAAAGCACUUUCAGUUGUGAGGAAAGGUUGGUAGUUAAUACCUGCCAGCUGUGACGUUAACAACAGAAGAAGCACCGGCUAACUCCGUGCCAGCAGCCGCGGUAAUACGGAGGGUGCGAGCGUUAAUCGGAAUUACUGGGCGUAAAGCGCACGCAGGCGGUUUGUUAAGCUAGAUGUGAAAGCCCCGGGCUCAACCUGGGAUGGUCAUUUAGAACUGGCAGACUAGAGUCUUGGAGAGGGGAGUGGAAUUCCAGGUGUAGCGGUGAAAUGCGUAGAUAUCUGGAGGAACAUCAGUGGCGAAGGCGGCUCCCUGGCCAAAGACUGACGCUCAUGUGCGAAAGUGUGGGUAGCGAACAGGAUUAGAUACCCUGGUAGUCCACACCGUAAACGCUGUCUACUAGCUGUUUGUGAAUUUAAUUCGUGAGUAGCGAAGCUAACGCGAUAAGUAGACCGCCUGGGGAGUACGGCCGCAAGGUUAAAACUCAAAGGAAUUGACGG